This is a long non-coding RNA of Poecilia latipinna (sailfin molly), 1778 nucleotides long. RefSeq lists it as uncharacterized. The record is from RefSeq and is a predicted model, not a curated record. The transcript is spliced from 3 exons. Lineage: Eukaryota; Metazoa; Chordata; Actinopteri; Cyprinodontiformes; Poeciliidae.
CCAGGAAACACAGAUGGUGGAUAAAGGGGUUGCAUACAAAAGACCAUAAACCUGUAGCAGCAGCUGGAGACCGAGAGCCGCUCAUUCUCUCAGGACUGCGCAGUCCCGCUCAUUCAAAGGAGCCUCUGUUCUCAUUAAUACCUUCGCUUCAACAUCUUUGUCCAAAGCUUCCUGCUCCACUUUGUCCUGCUUCCCCCCCCUCCCGCGAACUGAACUGCGGUCUCCCCCGUCAGUGCGCAGCUGCUGCUGGCACUCCCACAUCUGCUUGUUUCAGCUCGGCGGCCAUGAAGAGGACGCCGAGCCUCGGCUCACGGUGAAAGGCUGGAGACUCGGUCCGAGCAGCGACCUCCUUUAUGCGGCGAAGGCAGAUAAACUGCGCCAACACAGCGGGUAUGCUCAUGUUGAACAGCUUUCUCCCAGAAUGGAGGGAUAAGCGGAAGAAAAGGAAGAAGCCAUGAUCUCUUCGCACCCUUUUUAUGCUGCGGGACAGGUGGAACCUGAAGAUCUAUGCUGACCAGCGUUGUACGGGCUGGACUCGUCCCCAGAGCUGCUGACAUGGCACCAAACAGGACUCUGGGAGGACCCAACGACGGGGCAGGUUAUGUGUUAUCUUUGUUAAAAUUGCUGGAGCAGAUUAAUCUUCACAGAUCAGUUUCUGGCCAUUUGGUUAUCAGUGUUAUGUUUUCGCCCGCGCAUAAUGAAAAGCUCUGACGGCCGGCGAAAGAAUAGGAGCCAGGUCCCCUUUGGGGAUCUUGCUAGGACAGUUGGGUUGCGUCCCACUUUUCUGCUGCUUUGUGUUGUGUGUCCCUUCUCCAGUUGCACUGAUGAAAAAGCAGAUUUGGCCUCAACCAGAUCCCAUUGUGCCCCAGCUGGCGUUCCUCCACCUCCUUUGCUGCGCUGCCUUAUAGAACGUGGCGGAGACGUGUGCCGUGAUGCGUCCUCGAAGGAAAACCUUCAGCACUAGUGUGUCUCUCAACCGAGGGACGACUUCUGCUUCUGUUCGUCAGCCAAAAGAAAUGAGCUAUCGCUUUGCCGCCAUUGUCCGUUUAAUCACGUGUGGCUGCUGGAAGGGACUUCAUUCAGAGCCGUCUGCUGCUCUGUUACAGCUAUUUUAUAGCUUAAUUCAGUCCUUCUCCUGUUUCUAUUUCUGUUGACUAGAUGCAUAGAAACCUGUACUGUAAAUCAACUCCACCUGAGUUACAUUUUUUUUUUUUUUUUUUUGCAAUUGAUCGUUUCUCCCAAGCGUUCACCUGUUUAUGUAAUGUUACCGUCUGUGUCUGUUUGUGAAAACUGGCCUGCAGUGUUUCCAGAUCCAAAUCUAUGAGGGGUUUAUAUUUGAGGCUUGUACGAACAAAAAUAUUAUGUGCUGGUGUGUGAAAAUGACGGAUGUUCUCACCUUCUGAUAAUGUGUAAAUCACACAUUUGUGCUUGUUGAGAAACCUCCCGAGCUCAACGCGAAACCAGCUAUUUUUACUGUACUAUUCUGCAGUUAAACUGUAGGGUGUGUGUGUGUGUGGGAUGAAUGCGUGUGUGUGUGUGUGUGGGAGAGUGCAUGUGUUUCUCUGCAUGCGCUCCAUCUGUGUUAGUGGCAGUACCUGUGCACGUGUGUCUCAUCAGUCCGAUAAGACGUGUCUGUAAUGGGCCUGAAAUUGCCGCUACAAUCCUUUUUAGCCACUGGAUGUGCCAGAUAAGGGAUAAAACAUUGUUUACUGAUGAUUCUUAGCAUUUGUUACAGCCCCAUUUAAAAAAACAAACAAAAACAAAACAAAAAAAACAAA